UGGGGAAUUUUGGACAAUGGGGGCAACCCUGAUCCAGCCAUGCCGCGUGAGUGAAGAAGGCCUUCGGGUUGUAAAGCUCUUUCGGACGGAACGAAAUGGUUAUGGUGAAUAUCCAUGACUGAUGACGGUACUGUAAGAAGAAGCACCGGCUAACUACGUGCCAGCAGCCGCGGUAAUACGUAGGGUGCGAGCGUUAAUCGGAAUUACUGGGCGUAAAGCGUGCGCAGGCGGCCGCGCAAGUCAGGUGUGAAAUCCCCGGGCUUAACCUGGGAAUUGCGCUUGAAACUAUGCGGCUAGAGUGUGGCAGAGGGGGGUGGAAUUCCACGUGUAGCAGUGAAAUGCGUAGAGAUGUGGAGGAACACCGAUGGCGAAGGCAGCCCCCUGGGCCUGUACUGACGCUCAUGCAUGAAAGCGUGGGGAGCAAACAGGAUUAGAUACCCGAGUAGUCCCUGAGCGGGCUGGCAAGGCGCAU
This 472-nucleotide ribosomal RNA is filed under the name uncultured bacterium. RNAcentral describes it as "bacterial SSU rRNA". It matches the Rfam family "Bacterial small subunit ribosomal RNA", at positions 355 to 825 of the family's 1533-position model. The record is from RNAcentral.